AUUAGAAGUUAUAGUUUGUAUGGUUAAUUAGAAAGAAGUAGAUUUUUCUCAUGAAAAGAAUAGUGAACAAUUCUGGAAUUUUUUAUUUUAUUUAUUUAUUUUUUAUCUCUGUUGAUGUGUAAACUAAAUUCCCACAUUGGGAAUACUGUAGUCUCAAAGUCAAGUUAAAUUCGUAUGAUGAACACUGCAUGGCAGCAAACUAUCCUCUUUAGUUGCUAAAUUUAUAGUUUUGGUUUUAUUCUUUUAAUAAUUGUCUGUUUUAGAAACUUAUUACAAAUACAGAAGAAAUAUUGACAGAUUUAAAUAGAAUGAGUGAAGUUCUACCCAUUUUCUGAAUUGUGCAUUUGAGAUAAGUAAUCAGAGACUUGUGAAUCUUACACAAUACACACACACACACACACACAUACAUACAUUUAUAUAUAUAUAUAUAUAGAGAGAGAGAGAGAGAGACAUUUAAUUAUUUUCAGCUAUUUACUCUAUUUUUUUUAGAUAAACAUUACAGUAGAAUGUAUUUUGACAAACGUAUAUGGAGUAUAACUUACUGUAAUUAGGAUUCCAUUCUUGUGAUUGUACAUGAUGUAGAGUUUCAUUAGUGGCGUAUGCAUAUAUGACAUAGGAAAGUUAUGUCUGAUUGAUUCUACUGUCUUUCCUAUUCCCUAUCACCCUCCCUUCCCUUCAUUCAUUCCCCUUUGUCUAAAUCACUGAACUACUAUUCUUCUCUCCUCCCCAUAUUGUAUUUUUGCAUCCACAUAUCAGAGCAUUCAGCCUUUGGUUUUUUGAGAUUGGCUUAUUUUCCUUAGCAUGAUCUCUAGGUCCAUCCCUUUACUGGCAAAAGUCAUAAAGUUAUUUUUUAUGGCCAAGUAAUAUUCCAUGUGUAUAUAUACCACAUUUCUUUAUCCAUUCAUCUGUUGAAGGACACCUAGGUUGGUUCCAUAGCUUAGCUGUUGUGAAUUGAGCUGCUAAAAACAUUGAUGAGGCUGUAUCACUAUAGUGCUAAUUUUAAGUACUUUGGGUGUAUAUCAAGGAGUAGGAUAACUGGGUCAAGUGAUGUUAGUUCCAUUCCCCGUUUUCUAAGGAAUCUCCAUGCAGCUUUCCAGAGUGGUUGCACCAAUUUGCAGUCCCAUCAGCAAUGUAUGAAUGUACCUUUUUCCCUACAUCCUCAUCAACCUUUAUCGUUACUUGUGGUUUUGAUAAUUGCCAUUCUGACUGGAGUGAGAUGGAAUCUCAGUGUAGUUUUAAUCUGCACUUCUCUAAUAGCUAGAGAAGUUGAACAUUUUUUUCAUAUAUUUAUUGACCAUUUGUAUUCUUUUGAGAAGUACCUAUUCAGUUCCUUUGCCCAUUUAUUGAUUGGAUUAUUUGUGUUUUUUUGGUGUUAAAAGUUUUUUGAGUUCUUUAUAUAUCCUGGAAAUUAAUGCUCUGUCUGAGGUGCAGGUGGCAAAAAUUUUCUCCAAUUCUGUAGGCUCUCUCUUCACAUUUUUUAUUGUUUCCUCUGCUGUGCAGAAGCUUUUUAGUUUUAUACCAUCCCAUUUAUUGAUUCUUUGAUUUAAUUUCUUGCAUUUUGGAGUCUUAUUAAGGAAGUCAUUUCCUAAGCCAAAAUGGAGAGUUGGGCCUACAUUUUCUUCUGGUCAGUAUAGGGUCUUCUGGUCUAAUGCCUAGGUCCUUGAUCCACUUUGAGUUUUGUGCAAGGUGAGAGGGGUUAAAUUUCAUUCUGCUAUGUAUGGAUUUCCAGUUUCCCCAACACCAUUUGUUGAAGAGGCUGUUUUUUCUCCAAUUUGUGUUUAUAGCACCUUUGUCUAAUAUAAGAUAACUGUGUUUAUGUGACUUUCUGUCUAUGUCUUCUAUUCUGUUUGUUUCAUUGACCUUCAUGUCUGGGUGCCAGUAGCAUGCUUUUUUGUUACUAUGGCUCUGUAGUAUAAUUUGAGGUCUGGUAUUGUGAUGUCUCCUGAUUCUCUUGAUGAGGAUUGUUUGUCUAUUCUGGACAUCAUAUUUUUCCAAAUGAAUUUCAUAACUGCUUUUUCUAUUUCUAUGAAGAAUGUCAUAUAAAUUACAUUAAAUCUGUAUAGUGCAUUUUGAUAAUAUGCUUGUCGAAGAACAUGGGAGAUGUUUCCAUCUUCUAAGGUCGUCUUUAAUUUCUUUAGUGUUCUGUAGUUAUCGCUGCAGAGGUUUUUUCACCUCUUGUUAGAUUGAUUCCCAAGUAUUCUAUUUUUUUAAGGCUAUUAUGAAUGGGAUAGUUUUCUUAAUUUCUCUUUCAUCCAGUUACUAAUGUUAUUAAGUUUGAGCUAGGGAUACCCUCUCUUGGCUCCCUUUAAUAGCAUAUUUAAUUGAACAGACAUUUUAGAACUGUUGAUUAAAAUUCUACAUCUGAAUUUCUGGAUAAAGACUGGUGAUUGGGGAGAUAAUCAUUGCAAUAGAAACCAGUAUCUGGAUUGAGCUUUCAGCAUCACUCUGGAUCAAGUUACCCCCAUAGCGUAAUCCUAACCAUAGUUGAUUUUGCAAAAAGCCUUAAGUUUUUUUAAAUAAUGCUAUUUAUACUAAAGGGAUAAGUUUGGGCCAGAUAUAGCUAACAUUCAUAUUUUGUUUAAUCCUAUGUAGUUCAAAUUAGGGAUAACUUCCUGCAAUAAUUUUCAUACUCUGUCCCUUUGUUUAAAGGAAACCUUUCAUUAGGUGUGGAAGAGGAUACAAUAGAUAACAAGUUGAAUGUUCUAGCUGAAACCAAGUUGGGAAGAAAGCAAUGGGCUAAGGCCUAUAAAGUAUUCUAGGAAAGGAGUUUCUGUGUACUCUCAGGCAAACUGGAAGGCUGAAGAAGGUGGUGGACCUAUGAAAAGCAUGUUUUGGUCACUUGAACUUGUUUCUGUUUACCUAGCCUUUUAUUUUAUUUUAUAAGUUGCUCUGUCCUAAUAUGAAUGGUAACCAGAGCUGCUAUUCCAAGGUUACAACAAAAGCUAGAAUUUCUUUUGUAAUCAGUAGGGUUUUUGUUUUGUUUUGGUUUUGGUUUUGGUUUUUUUCAUUGUUUGUUGUUUACUUCCUACUUUUUAGUUCUGGUGCUCUUAGUUAUAGCCAGAUAGGUAUGCUCAGUAACCAGAUGUUUUUUCACUAGAAGGCUUCAGUCUUUUAGGGUUGAAAACGGACAUGAUUGUAGGAAACCUCCCUCCUGUUUCUACAGAUUUCUUUUGUUUCUGCCCUUGCAUACCUGCUGCUGAAACUAAUUCAUAAGCAGCAACUUUUUCAGAGGAAAAUGUGAGUGAAAGUGAAAUCCAAAAUAAUCUCAGCCUUCUCUUUCAGGGGACUUUCUGGCUCUUUCUGCAGGUAUUUUCCUCAGAUAUUCAUAAGUUGAAAGCAUCUCAAGAGUCCUUAAAACUGCUACAGAGAUGGUGUGAUAUUAAACAGUCUGCCCAAGUUGUAAGUCUUAAAUGGACAUUGUGUUUUCAAAGAAUAACUGAGUGGUUUUAAGUGUUAAAUAUAAAUACCAAAUGAUAGUUACAUGCUUCUCACCAUGCAGUGGUAUUGACAGUCUCUUUCUUUCUGAGGGUGAGAAAAUUUGAUCUUGCAAUAUUUUAUGUACCUUUCAGUGAAACUAAAUAUAGCCAGAGAAUCCAUAUUUAAGAUGUACUGUUAGGAUUUGGAACUUAAAUGUCUUCCAAAGGCUUAUAUGGUAAAGGCUUGGUCAUCAACUUGUGCUCCCAUCAACUUGGGAGAAACUUUUGGAGUUGAGUUUAGGGGAAGGAAGUUAAGUCAGUGGGGCAUGUCCUUGAAGGGGAUAUCCCAACCCUUUUCUUUGGUUUCCCAACCUGUGUAAAGUGAUCAGCUCUCCUCUGCCAUGUACCUUGCCAUGUGACUAUAGAUUGAAAUGCUGAACCAAAAUAAAUCCUCCUUUUUAGGUUUUUUAUCUCAGGUUUUUGAUAGCAGUGAAAAUCUGAUUAGCCCAUAAUGCUUAGCACGGUUUGAGUCUGACAGUAUCAAUGACACCUAGCAGUACUUUGAGGCAUAUAUUAUCCUCAUUUCACAUAUAAGGAAACCAAUGCUUAAGAAGUCAAUUUUAUUCCUGAUUAAUAGGAAAAUAGUAAACUUUGAGAUCAGGUUACAUCAGUGGUUUUUCCAUUCCAUGUGGACUAUGAUGUAUAAUUCCUAUCUUGAUAAAAUAUAAUGAACUUCCAAAAAUUAGCCAUUAGAAGUUCUUCUCUAGUUUGUAAUGAAGAUGGUUUUACAAAUAUUAGUAAUUAAUAUCCAUUUGUGUUCUGAGUUUUAUUUAAUAAACUGGAAGAAGAAAAAAAAAAUACAGGCAU
RNAcentral lists this long non-coding RNA (4283 nucleotides) under Marmota monax (woodchuck). The record is from RNAcentral. Lineage: Eukaryota; Metazoa; Chordata; Mammalia; Rodentia; Sciuridae.